UACGUAGGGCGCAAGCGUUGUCCGGAUUUAUUGGGCGUAAAGAGCUCGUAGGCGGUCCGUCACGUCGGCUGUGAAAACCCGAGGCUCAACCUCGGGCCUGCAGUCGAUACGGGCAGACUAGAGUGCGGUAGGGGAGACUGGAAUUCCUGGUGUAGCGGUGAAAUGCGUAGAUAUCGAGAGGAACACCAGUGGCGAAGGCGAGUCCCUGGACAGAUCCUGACGCUGAGGCACGAAAGCGAGGGGAGCAAACAGG
RNAcentral lists this ribosomal RNA (253 nucleotides) under uncultured bacterium. Its description in RNAcentral is "partial 16S ribosomal RNA". It matches the Rfam family "Bacterial small subunit ribosomal RNA", at positions 524 to 776 of the family's 1533-position model. The record is from RNAcentral.